Molecule: unclassified non-coding RNA, 404 nt
Filed under: Hevea brasiliensis (rubber tree)
Lineage: Eukaryota; Viridiplantae; Streptophyta; Magnoliopsida; Malpighiales; Euphorbiaceae
Source: RNAcentral
CUCUCCUCAUUAGGAACCUCCAUAACCGCCCAUAUUUCUCCACCCUCCUCCUUCAGCUCAAAUCCGAUACACUCCAACAAUUCAACCCCUCCUGUAACCUCACUGAUAGCCUCCCUAAUCUUUGGAUUCCCCAUUCUAAUCUUCCUGAACUUUGCAUUAUCUGGCUCCCUAACAACAUUUCUGAACAGUCGAAGCGCAACUUCCACAGACCCCGCGGGCGGCUUCCCUGACAAAUACAUACCGACAGAAGCCUGCAAUUCGCCACUACUAGAUUCUCCCGUAACAUUUCCUUCAUCAACCGAACCUUUGUUGUUGUUUUUAUUGGCACAGCUUUCUACAUGCAUAGAAACCUCUUCUUGUGAUUUAUAUGAUUGUCCACAAAUCGGGCAUUCAAACACAUUCAA